UCUAAAAAAAGAGAGAAAAUUGAUGAGAAAAGCAAAAUUUCUGUGCUACUUUUGUUCUUCAUCUUCAAUUCCUCCUCGCACAAAUCAUACACUCUCAGAGUCUUACUUGGGUGUCGCCACUGCUGCUUUCCUACUAGCUGUGGUUCACCAGCCAUCGUCGUUGUUGCCUGUUGUCUCAGAAUUACACACUUCUUUUCUCAUACGGUGACCCACUCUCACUCGCUCGACUGUCGCUGCCACUGCUUGCCUAUCAUUUGUCAAUCAGCAAUUGCCAUCGCUGCUACCUUCGCACUCGCAUGCAAGCCACCAGAGCUCUGCUCAGCUUCUCUUCCUCCUAAAUCGUCAUUUCAAGUCCCACCAGAGCAAAAGGGCUGACGAACCAUCGGAGCUCAUUUGAGAUAAGCCUUCAAUAUUUCUUGAAGAAAAUGCAAAGCGGAACUGGGCCUUGGACAAGUUGCUCAAGAUUAGAAGCCACUCCUGAAUGAGUAGGCAUUCCUAGUCCUCUAGAGGUUUCUUCUAUCCCACUUGUAUCCACUACAGAUUCAUCUGCUCUAAUGAUGUUGGAUAGUUCUAUUUUUAUCAGCAAUGAUACAACAGCAAACCUUGGAGUUCCAGUGAUUGCUCUUGGCUCUGCAACCGCUUUUUUGCCUAUUGAAGGAGAACAAGUAGGUGCUAAUAUGCACAUGGGAGGAGAAUGAAGGUGAAGAAGGAUUUCGCAUCCCAAAAAAGAGUAAAACAUUCAAGACUCAGGAUGAUUUCAAGGAUGUUACAGCAAAUGGCUUGUACUAUGCCAUUUGUCCUUACUGCAGGAAAAAGCGUUCAAGGGGAAAGACCAUGCAAGCAACUACCAUGUUGAGACACUGGAUCACUUGUCCAGCUAGGAAAGCAAGUAUCAGAAAGGUGAAGCAGCAAAUCAAACUCAAUUUCUAGUUGAUUGAUGAAUGCUUUUCAACUUUACUACUAUUGAGCAACAAGUUUGACAUGGAGAAAAUGAGAGAGGGAGAUGCACAUUGGGUGUUAAUGCACGAGCAUCCCUUCUCCAUAUUAAAGGAAGAGGGUUUCCACAUUAUAAUGAAACAUGUGGCACUAGAGUGGAAGAAAAUCUCUCGGACAACAGUGAAAAAUGAUUGUAUGCAGGUUUAUGGAGUUCAAAAAAACAAGUUCAAGAAUAAGUUCAAGAAUGUGGAAAAGGCUAGAAAGCAACAUUACGAUUUUUGCCCAUCUCCUGAGGAUUAGAAAAAACGCAACAAAGGAAGUCAAACCAAUCAAAGAAAUUGACUUGCCAAAGUUCUAAAAUUUAUGCCACAUGGACCAAGUUUCAUAUUGUGAAUCUGCUUGGAGUUAAAUGGUUGGAGCUGCAAUUUUCAUUCCUGCUACUGCUGCUGCAGUAGAGUUAUGUUGCUGACCGCUGCUAUUCAUUUUUAUUGCUACUGCUGUUUCAAAUUUCUUCUGUUGUUGCAUCUCAUUUCUGCUCCUGCCUAUUGCUAGCUAUUCGUUUUUGCUGCUGUUCAUUUCUGCUGUUGCUGCUUUUGCUAUUCAAAACUUGAAGGUGGAAUCUAGAUUUGCGGUGUUGCUGCAUUUGGUUCAUUUCUAUUGCACUUUAAAGACAUCAAUAUUAAUUUUUAUGUAUUAAGUUUGGAUUUUGGAGCUUGUUUCUUUCAUUUGUAGUCUUGUACAUAUGCACUUGAUGGAA
This is a long non-coding RNA of Coffea arabica (coffee), 1693 nucleotides long. RefSeq lists it as uncharacterized. Lineage: Eukaryota; Viridiplantae; Streptophyta; Magnoliopsida; Gentianales; Rubiaceae. The record is from RefSeq and is a predicted model, not a curated record.